Long non-coding RNA from Labrus mixtus (cuckoo wrasse), 572 nucleotides. RefSeq lists it as uncharacterized. The transcript is spliced from 4 exons. The record is from RefSeq and is a predicted model, not a curated record. Lineage: Eukaryota; Metazoa; Chordata; Actinopteri; Labriformes; Labridae.
UUGAAAAGGUGGAGGAGGACUGUUUGAAAAGGUGGAGGAGGAGGACUGUUUGAAAAGGUGGAGGAGGACUGUUUGAAAAGGUGGAGGAGGACUGUUUGAAAAGGUGGAGGAGGACUGUUUGAAAAGGUGGAGGAGGAGGACUGUUUGAAAAGGUAGAGGAGGACUGUUUGAAAAGGUGGAGGAGGAGACUGUUUGAAAAGGUGGAGGAGGAGGACUGUUUGAAAAGGUGGAGGAGGACUGUUUGAAAAGGUGGAGGAGGACUGUUUGAAAAGGUGGAGGAGGAGGACUGUUUGAAAAGGUGGAGGAGGACUGUUUGAAAAGGUGGAGGAGGAGGACUGUUUGAUUUGGUGGAGGAGGAGGACUGUUUGAAAAGGUGGAGGAGGAGGACUGUUUGAAAAGGUGGAGGAGGAGGACUGUUUGAAAAGGUGGAGGAGGACUGUUUGAAAAGGUGGAGGAGGAGGACUGUUUGAAAAGGUGGAGGAGGGGACUGUUUGAAAAGGUGGAGGAGGACUGUUUGAAAAGGUGGAGGAGGAGGACUGUUUGAAAAGGUGGAGGAGGGGGUGAUAUGUCCU